UACGUAGGGGGCUAGCGUUGUCCGGAAUCAUUGGGCGUAAAGAGCGUGUAGGCGGCUUGGUAAGUCCGCUGUGAAAGUCCAGGGCUCAACCCUGGAAUGCCAGUGGAUACUGUCAAGCUAGAGUCCGGAAGAGGCGAGUGGAAUUCCUGGUGUAGCGGUGAAAUGCGCAGAUAUCAGGAGGAACACCAAUGGCGAAGGCAGCUCGCUGGGACGGUACUGACGCUGAGGAGCGAAAGCGUGGGGAGCGAACAGG
This 253-nucleotide ribosomal RNA is filed under the name uncultured bacterium. RNAcentral describes it as "partial 16S ribosomal RNA". It matches the Rfam family "Bacterial small subunit ribosomal RNA", at positions 524 to 776 of the family's 1533-position model. The record is from RNAcentral.